Molecule: ribosomal RNA, 963 nt
Filed under: Paenibacillus polymyxa
Lineage: Bacteria; Bacillati; Bacillota; Bacilli; Caryophanales; Paenibacillaceae
Description: partial 23S ribosomal RNA
Rfam family: Bacterial large subunit ribosomal RNA
Source: RNAcentral
AGGUUAAGCUACAAAGAGCACACGGAGGAUGCCUAGGCGCCAGGAGCCGACGAAGGACGUGGCGAACAACGAUAACGCCUCGGGGAGCUGUAAGCAAGCUUUGAUCCGGGGAUGUCCGAAUGGGGAAACCCGGCUGUCUUCAUCGACAGUCACUACUCAUUGAAUUCAUAGGUGAGUGAGAGGCAGACCAGGGGAACUGAAACAUCUAAGUACCCUGAGGAAGAGAAAACAAUAGUGAUUCCGUCAGUAGCGGCGAGCGAACGCGGAUUAGCCCAAACCAAGGAGCUUGCUCCUUGGGGUUGUGGGACGUCUCACAUGGAGUUACAAAGGAACCGGUUAGAUGAAGAGGUCUGGAAAGGCCCGCCAGAGAAGGUAAAAGCCCUGUAGUUCAAAACUUGUUCCCUCCGAGACGGAUCCCGAGUAGUGCGGGGCACGUGAAACCCCGUAUGAAUCCGGCAGGACCAUCUGCCAAGGCUAAAUACUCCCUGGCGACCGAUAGUGAAGCAGUACCGUGAGGGAAAGGUGAAAAGCACCCCGGAAGGGGAGUGAAAUAGAUCCUGAAACCGUGUGCUUACAAGAAGUCAGAGCCCUAUGAUAUUUUCCUUUGGAAAAAUCACGGGUGAUGGCGUGCCUUUUGUAGAAUGAACCGGCGAGUUACGUUCCCGUGCAAGGUUAAGGUGAAGAGCUGAAGCCGCAGCGAAAGCGAGUCUGAAUAGGGCGAAUGAGUACGUGGACGUAGACCCGAAACCGGGUGAUCUACCCCUGUCCAGGGUGAAGGUGCGGUAACACGCACUGGAGGCCCGAACCCACGCAUGUUGAAAAAUGCGGGGAUGAGGUGGGGGCAGCGGAGAAAUUCCAAUCGAACCCGGAGAUAGCUGGUUCUCCCCGAAUUAGCUUUAGGGCUAGCCUCGGCAAAAAGAAUCGUGGAGGUAGAGCACUGAUUGGGUGCGGGGCCCGCAAGGG